CCUACGGGUGGCAGCAGUGAGGAAUAUUGGUCAAUGGGCGAGAGCCUGAACCAGCCAAGUCGCGUGAGGGAAGACGGUCCUAUGGAUUGUAAACCUCUUUUGCCGGGGAGCAAAAAGCGGUACGUGUACCGCAUCGAGAGUACCCGGAGAAAAAGCAUCGGCUAACUCCGUGCCAGCAGCCGCGGUAAUACGGAGGAUGCGAGCGUUAUCCGGAUUUAUUGGGUUUAAAGGGAGCGUAGGCGGGUUGUUAAGUCAGUUGUGAAAGUUUGCGGCUCAACCGUAAAAUUGCAGUUGAUACUGGCAUCCUUGAGUACAGUAGAGGUAGGCGGAAUUCGUGGUGUAGCGGUGAAAUGCUUAGAUAUCACGAAGAACUCCGAUUGCGAAGGCAGCCUGCUGGACUGUAACUGACGCUGAUGCUCGAAAGUGUGGGUAUCAAACAGGAUUAGAUACCCCAGUAGUC
RNAcentral lists this ribosomal RNA (460 nucleotides) under uncultured bacterium. RNAcentral describes it as "partial 16S ribosomal RNA". It matches the Rfam family "Bacterial small subunit ribosomal RNA", at positions 338 to 795 of the family's 1533-position model. The record is from RNAcentral.